UAGGGAAUCUUCCGCAAUGGGCGAAAGCCUGACGGAGCAACGCCGCGUGAGUGAUGAAGGUCUUCGGAUCGUAAAACUCUGUUAUUAGGGAAGAACAAAUGUGUAAGUAACUAUGCACGUCUUGACGGUACCUAAUCAGAAAGCCACGGCUAACUACGUGCCAGCAGCCGCGGUAAUACGUAGGUGGCAAGCGUUAUCCGGAAUUAUUGGGCGUAAAGCGCGUGUAGGCGGUUUUUUAAGUCUGAUGUGAAAGCCCACGGCUCAACCGUGGAGGGUCAUUGGAAACUGGAAAACUUGAGUGCAGAAGAGGAAAGUGGAAUUCCAUGUGUAGCGGUGAAAUGCGCAGAGAUAUGGAGGAACACCAGUGGCGAAGGCGACUUUCUGGUCUGUAACUGACGCUGAUGUGCGAAAGCGUGGGGAUCAAACA
RNAcentral lists this ribosomal RNA (427 nucleotides) under uncultured bacterium. RNAcentral's name for it is "partial 16S ribosomal RNA". It matches the Rfam family "Bacterial small subunit ribosomal RNA", at positions 355 to 774 of the family's 1533-position model. The record is from RNAcentral.